This 656-nucleotide long non-coding RNA is filed under the name Mytilus galloprovincialis (Mediterranean mussel). The record is from RNAcentral. Lineage: Eukaryota; Metazoa; Mollusca; Bivalvia; Mytilida; Mytilidae.
CUGGGUUCUAUGAUGAGUUUAUUUAUGUUACACAAAUAAUGUUUCUCAAUCAAUUUAAUUACGUAAAAAUUCGGUCAUAACUAUCUUUCGCAGAUGAUCAAACGAUUCACAUAGUAGUCAAGAUUACGGUUACAGCAAUGAAACCUUUCAGUUGCCAUAAUCAUGCUUGACUGCAAAACAGUUUCUAUUCAGACGUGUCUGUAUCUUCUGGUGUAUGUUGUUUUUUACGUAGCCGAUAGUAAAGUAACAGACAUGACGGUUGAACAAUGAACCCCAAAAUGACAACUGCGAAUACACCCACUAAGGCACACCCCAUUUAUGAUUUGAACACGCGCCCCCAAUUUUUAUCGGAAGUAAAGCCGAAUCAUCACUGUACCAAAGAUACAGCAUGCACGCAUUUUCAAAAUAAAAUAAAAUAUAGUAAAAUGGGAAGAAUAUUCCCCCGCAGUGUUCUUUCUUGUGGCACCGAUAAAUGCGGGAAACGGAAAAACAAAAUAUGUUGCCAAAUAUUCCCAACAAUAUGUCCAGAACAUUGUUUCCUUUACUGCAGAUGUACAUGAGUCCAUGGAGAAGACGAUAAGCUAUAAAGAAUAACACAAAAUAGCUAUAUUCAGCCAUAACGAGCGCAAUUAAGAUGAUACGUGGCACAAUUUCAG